UUAAGCGACUAAGCGUACACGGUGGAUGCCCUGGCAGUCAGAGGCGAUGAAGGACGUGCUAAUCUGCGAAAAGCGUCGGUAAGGUGAUAUGAACCGUUAUAACCGGCGAUGUCCGAAUGGGGAAACCCAGUGUGAUUCGUCACACUAUCGUUAACUGAAUACAUAGGUUAACGAGGCGAACCGGGGGAACUGAAACAUCUAAGUACCCCGAGGAAAAGAAAUCAACCGAGAUUCCCCCAGUAGCGGCGAGCGAACGGGGAGCAGCCCAGAGUCUGAAUCAGCUUGUGUGUUAGUGGAACGGUCUGGAAAGUCCGACGGUACAGGGUGAUAGUCCCGUACACCAAAAUGCACAGGCUGUGAACUCGAAGAGUAGGGCGGGACACGUGGUAUCCUGUCUGAAUAUGGGGGGACCAUCCUCCAAGGCUAAAUACUCCUGACUGACCGAUAGUGAACCAGUACCGUGAGGGAAAGGCGAAAAGAACCCCGGCGAGGGGAGUGAAAAAGAACCUGAAACCGUGUACGUACAAGCAGUGGGAGCACCUUCGGGUGUGACUGCGUACCUUUUGUAUAAUGGGUCAGCGACUUAUAUUCUGUAGCAAGGUUAACCGUAUAGGGGAGCCGCAGGGAAACCGAGUCUUAACUGGGCGUUAAGUUGCAGGGUAUAGACCCGAAACCCGGUGAUCUAGCCAUGGGCAGGUUGAAGGUUGGGUAACACUAACUGGAGGACCGAACCGACUAAUGUUGAAAAAUUAGCGGAUGACUUGUGGCUGGGGGUGAAAGGCCAAUCAAACCGGGAGAUAGCUGGUUCUCCCCGAAAGCUAUUUAGGUAGCGCCUCGUGAAUUCAUCUUCGGGGGUAGAGCACUGUUUCGGCUAGGGGGUCAUCCCGACUUACCAACCCGAUGCAAACUACGAAUACCGAAGAAUGUUAUCACGGGAGACACACGGCGGGUGCUAACGUCCGUCGUGAAGAGGGAAACAACCCAGACCGCCAGCUAAGGUCCCAAAGUCAUGGUUAAGUGGGAAACGAUGUGGGAAGGCACAGACAGCCAGGAUGUUGGCUUAGAAGCAGCCAUCAUUUAAAGAAAGCGUAAUAGCUCACUGGUCGAGUCGGCCUGCGCGGAAGAUGUAACGGGGCUAAACCAUGCACCGAAGCUGCGGCAGCGACACUAUGUGUUGUUGGGUAGGGGAGCGUUCUGUAAGCCUGCGAAGGUGACCUGUGAGGGUUGCUGGAGGUAUCAGAAGUGCGAAUGCUGACAUAAGUAACGAUAAAGCGGGUGAAAAGCCCGCUCGCCGGAAGACCAAGGGUUCCUGUCCAACGUUAAUCGGGGCAGGGUGAGUCGACCCCUAAGGCGAGGCCGAAAGGCGUAGUCGAUGGGAAACAGGUUAAUAUUCCUGUACUUGGUGUUACUGCGAAGGGGGGACGGAGAAGGCUAUGUUAGCCGGGCGACGGUUGUCCCGGUUUAAGCAUGUAGGCUGGUUAUCCAGGCAAAUCCGGAUAAUCAAGGCUGAGGUGUGAUGACGAGGCACUACGGUGCUGAAGUAACAAAUGCCCUGCUUCCAGGAAAAGCCUCUAAGCAUCAGGUAACAUCAAAUCGUACCCCAAACCGACACAGGUGGUCAGGUAGAGAAUACCAAGGCGCUUGAGAGAACUCGGGUGAAGGAACUAGGCAAAAUGGUGCCGUAACUUCGGGAGAAGGCACGCUGGUGUGUAGGUGAAGUCCCUGCGGAUGGAGCUGAGACCAGUCGAAGAUACCAGCUGGCUGCAACUGUUUAUUAAAAACACAGCACUGUGCAAACACGAAAGUGGACGUAUACGGUGUGACGCCUGCCCGGUGCCGGAAGGUUAAUUGAUGGGGUUAUCCGUAAGGAGAAGCUCUUGAUCGAAGCCCCGGUAAACGGCGGCCGUAACUAUAACGGUCCUAAGGUAGCGAAAUUCCUUGUCGGGUAAGUUCCGACCUGCACGAAUGGCGUAAUGAUGGCCAGGCUGUCUCCACCCGAGACUCAGUGAAAUUGAACUCGCUGUGAAGAUGCAGUGUACCCGCGGCAAGACGGAAAGACCCCGUGAACCUUUACUAUAGCUUGACACUGAACAUUGAGCCUUGAUGUGUAGGAUAGGUGGGAGGCUUUGAAGCGUGGACGCCAGUCUGCGUGGAGCCAACCUUGAAAUACCACCCUUUAAUGUUUGAUGUUCUAACGUUGGCCCCUUACCGGGGUUGCGGACAGUGUCUGGUGGGUAGUUUGACUGGGGCGGUCUCCUCCCAAAGCGUAACGGAGGAGCACGAAGGUUAGCUAAUCCUGGUCGGACAUCAGGAGGUUAGUGCAAUGGCAUAAGCUAGCUUGACUGCGAGCGUGACGGCGCGAGCAGGUGCGAAAGCAGGUCAUAGUGAUCCGGUGGUUCUGAAUGGAAGGGCCAUCGCUCAACGGAUAAAAGGUACUCCGGGGAUAACAGGCUGAUACCGCCCAAGAGUUCAUAUCGACGGCGGUGUUUGGCACCUCGAUGUCGGCUCAUCACAUCCUGGGGCUGAAGUAGGUCCCAAGGGUAUGGCUGUUCGCCAUUUAAAGUGGUACGCGAGCUGGGUUUAGAACGUCGUGAGACAGUUCGGUCCCUAUCUGCCGUGGGCGCUGGAGAAUUGAGGGGGGCUGCUCCUAGUACGAGAGGACCGGAGUGGACGCAUCACUGGUGUUCGGGUUGUCAUGCCAAUGGCACUGCCCGGUAGCUAAAUGCGGAAGAGAUAAGUGCUGAAAGCAUCUAAGCACGAAACUUGCCCCGAGAUGAGUUCUCCCUGAGACUUUAAGUCUCCUGAAGGAACGUUAAAGACGAUGACGUUGAUAGGCCGGGUGUGUAAGCGCAGCGAUGCGUUGAGCUAACCGGUACUAAUGAACCGUGAGGCUUAACCUU
This 2900-nucleotide ribosomal RNA is filed under the name Klebsiella pneumoniae MGH 64. Its description in RNAcentral is "bacterial LSU rRNA". It matches the Rfam family "Bacterial large subunit ribosomal RNA". The record is from RNAcentral. Lineage: Bacteria; Pseudomonadati; Pseudomonadota; Gammaproteobacteria; Enterobacterales; Enterobacteriaceae.